AUUACAAAUAAGUCCUAUGAUUUUUGGUAUCAUCAAAACAAGGGUUAGGAUAUUCCACAAGGUUCCCAACAGAACAUAAGUUCGAAAAUAAGUUUGGAGGGAUGAUGAUAUGUGUCACUACUCACAGAAACACAUGCUCCAUGGUGGUGGUAUGAACAAGGCGCGAGUUCAACAUCUUCCAAGGUCAACACUGCACUAAAAACCCCAAAACAAAGAAAACAAAGAAAACAAAGAAACAAAAGAAACAAAACGAAACUAAAAGAAAGAAAAACA
RNAcentral lists this long non-coding RNA (273 nucleotides) under Salvia miltiorrhiza (redroot sage). Its description in RNAcentral is "long non-coding RNA (SMIL_LNC012643)". Lineage: Eukaryota; Viridiplantae; Streptophyta; Magnoliopsida; Lamiales; Lamiaceae. The record is from RNAcentral.